This 1443-nucleotide long non-coding RNA is filed under the name Cervus hanglu yarkandensis (Yarkand deer). RNAcentral's name for it is "lncRNA (ENSCHYG00000022254.1)". Lineage: Eukaryota; Metazoa; Chordata; Mammalia; Artiodactyla; Cervidae. The record is from RNAcentral.
CUUUAAUGAGGUUACUAAGGCCAAGUGACUUGCCCUGGGUCACAGAGCUGGGUUAAGCCAUGCUUUCUCCCUGCCCCCUAGUGAUGGUCCUUAAACACAGAUCCAAGCUCUACUGUAAACAUCUAUUCCCUAGAUUGGGGUGACCCUUGGUCACAGGCCCUGUAUUAGCAAUGCUGACAUUCCUCGCCAGCACACAGGAAGAUAAGAGGUACCAAUUACUGAACACCUAGAACGUGCCAGGUAUUCUCACUCAGCAUGUGACUUAAUCUUCACAACAACCCUCAGGAGUAGGUUAUAUCAUCUUCUUUGCAGAUGAUAAAGUAAGACCCAAAAGAUCAAGUCACUUUCCCAAAGUCACUAGCUGUUCCAAGAGCCAGUAAGAAAGACUUGGGAUGAUCUUCUAGCUCUAGGGACUGUCUUCUCUCCAUUGUGCCAUCAUGGCUUUUAACCUUCAAAUUAUCUUUGGGUCCUUCCUACCACUCACCUCCCCUUUCCAAAUACCCCCACUACCCUGCCCAGCACCCUCAUAAUGCAUAUACACACCAGCCAGAAGGAAAUUACACCUUUAAAAAAAAACAGGAAAAAUCUUCGGAACCUUAAUGUUUGGUUGAGUCUUUAAAUUCAGCAAAACACUUCAGGAUUUCCUGUCUCGGAACAGACUGCUGCUGUUAAACAUUAAGGAAGGGCCAGUCUUGUAUGAGAUGAAAUACCUAGUAAUCCCCAAAGCAAUGAACCCCAGCAGGAACUUACAUUGUAAAACAGACCAAAUAAUGAGAAACACAUUUCUGUUCCCGACCAGCACAAAGAGAGAGGAGAAAAGAAGAUGUGGUCUUUAUUCUGAGCAGUUGGGUUGCUGGAAAGACAUCGUCCGUCAAAACACUGGACAGAAAGAUAGAGCAAAGACGUGAUGCUUUCCUGACCACUGGUAAGACGUUUAUCUAGAUUUGUUCUCUGAAGGACUGGUACCAGGAAACGUGUAACAGCUACUCUGCACCCAUCAGCUUCUCCAUGAAGGACUUCAAAGAACAGAUGAGAUUGGGCAUCAUCAGAACUGACAGGAUAAUAUCACAGCAUUUGUGUUGUUAUCCAUGGGCGCGUUGCUGUGAGGAGGCCAACUGGAAAAGCCAUAACAUGUUUUUCCCAGUCACCACAAGGCUGUAGAAGGUUUUAAGUUCUAGAUGAGCCAACUCUAUCAUUUACCUGACCCCAGAGCAUGAGCGCCUGCUCUGACGAUGCAUGAUUGCCCAAGUUGAAACUAAACUUGUGUGGAAUAAAGAAAACUUCUAAACCAAAAUGAAGAAGUAAAUGAUACUAUUAACUGUGAAAAACGGAAGAAAUUCUGUGAAAUCAUAAACCACAUCCCAUAAGCUUUUCAACUGGCCCAUAUACUAGUUGCAUGCAUACGUGGCUAUAAUUAUUGCCAAAAAAAAAUAGCAAUACACG